Molecule: unclassified non-coding RNA, 148 nt
Filed under: soil metagenome
Description: partial internal transcribed spacer 1
Source: RNAcentral
CCGAGUUUACAACUCCCAAAACCCCUGUGAACAUACCACUUGUUGCCUCGGCGGAUCAGCCCGCUCCCGGUAAAACGGGACGGCCCGCCAGAGGACCCCUAAACUCUGUUUCUAUAUGUAACUUCUGAGUAAAACCAUAAAUAAAUCA